UACCGCGGUUAUACGAGAGGCUCAAGUUGUAAGACAUCGGCGUAAAGGGUGGUUAGGGAAAACUAAAACUAAAGCCGAAUACUGUCAAAGCUGUUAUACGCAACCGAAAGUAAGAAGAACAAUUACGAAAGUAGCUUUAUGUACCCCCGAACCCACGAAAGCUAAGAA
This 168-nucleotide ribosomal RNA is filed under the name Elassoma okefenokee (Okefenokee pygmy sunfish). Its description in RNAcentral is "partial 12S rRNA". Lineage: Eukaryota; Metazoa; Chordata; Actinopteri; Centrarchiformes; Elassomatidae. The record is from RNAcentral.